This 107-nucleotide small nuclear RNA is filed under the name Chinchilla lanigera (long-tailed chinchilla). The record is from RNAcentral. Lineage: Eukaryota; Metazoa; Chordata; Mammalia; Rodentia; Chinchillidae.
AUGCUCCCUUUGUCAGCACAUACACUGAAAUUGGAACGAUACGGAGAAGAUUAGCAUGGCCCCUGCGCAAGGAUGGCACGCAGAUUCAUGAAGUGUUCCAUGUUUUU